RNAcentral lists this ribosomal RNA (426 nucleotides) under Escherichia coli. RNAcentral's name for it is "bacterial LSU rRNA". It matches the Rfam family "Bacterial large subunit ribosomal RNA", at positions 39 to 504 of the family's 2925-position model. The record is from RNAcentral. Lineage: Bacteria; Pseudomonadati; Pseudomonadota; Gammaproteobacteria; Enterobacterales; Enterobacteriaceae.
GUCAGAGGCGAUGAAGGACGUGCUAAUCUGCGAUAAGCGUCGGUAAGGUGAUAUGAACCGUUAUAACCGGCGAUUUCCGAAUGGGGAAACCCAGUGUGAUUCGUCACACUAUCAUUAACUGAAUCCAUAGGUUAAUGAGGCGAACCGGGGGAACUGAAACAUCUAAGUACCCCGAGGAAAAGAAAUCAACCGAGAUUCCCCCAGUAGCGGCGAGCGAACGGGGAGCAGCCCAGAGCCUGAAUCAGUGUGUGUGUUAGUGGAAGCGUCUGGAAAGGCGUGCGAUACAGGGUGACAGCCCCGUACACAAAAAUGCACAUACUGUGAGCUCGAUGAGUAGGGCGGGACACGUGGUAUCCUGUCUGAAUAUGGGGGGACCAUCCUCCAAGGCUAAAUACUCCUGACUGACCGAUAGUGAACCAGUACCGU